Molecule: ribosomal RNA, 428 nt
Filed under: Escherichia coli
Lineage: Bacteria; Pseudomonadati; Pseudomonadota; Gammaproteobacteria; Enterobacterales; Enterobacteriaceae
Description: partial 23S ribosomal RNA
Rfam family: Bacterial large subunit ribosomal RNA
Source: RNAcentral
CAUAGGUUAAUGAGGCGAACCGGGGGAACUGAAACAUCUAAGUACCCCGAGGAAAAGAAAUCAACCGAGAUUCCCCCAGUAGCGGCGAGCGAACGGGGAGCAGCCCAGAGCCUGAAUCAGUGUGUGUGUUAGUGGAAGCGUCUGGAAAGGCGCGCGAUACAGGGUGACAGCCCCGUACACAAAAAUGCACAUGCUGUGAGCUCGAUGAGUAGGGCGGGACACGUGGUAUCCUGUCUGAAUAUGGGGGGACCAUCCUCCAAGGCUAAAUACUCCUGACUGACCGAUAGUGAACCAGUACCGUGAGGGAAAGGCGAAAAGAACCCCGGCGAGGGGAGUGAAAAAGAACCUGAAACCGUGUACGUACAAGCAGUGGGAGCACGCUUAGGCGUGUGACUGCGUACCUUUUGUAUAAUGGGUCAGCGACUUAU